UUUGACAAAGUGCCUUAU
RNAcentral lists this non-coding RNA (18 nucleotides) under Arabidopsis thaliana (thale cress). Lineage: Eukaryota; Viridiplantae; Streptophyta; Magnoliopsida; Brassicales; Brassicaceae. The record is from RNAcentral.